AUUGAACGCUGGCGGCAUGCCUAACACAUGCAAGUCGAACGGAUGAAGUGAGCUUUCUCCUGGAUUUAGCGUCGGACGGGUGUGUAAUACCUAUGAAUCUUCCUCGUUGUAGUGGAUAACGUCCGUAAACGGGCGCUUAUACUGCAUACUUCCUGAUUUAUAAAUUUGGGGAUCUUCGGACCUUACUCUAGCAUAUGAUCCUAGCUCGGAUUAGCUAGUUGGUGGGGUGAUGGCCUACCAAGGCGGCGAUCCGUAACUGGUCUGAGAGAAGGAUCAGCCACCCGGGAACGGGGACACGGACAAGACUCCUAAGGGAGGCAGCAGAGGGGAAUAUUGGACAGUGGGGGAAAGCAUGAUCCAAUGGUGCCGAGUGUGUGAAGAAGGUGUUCGGAUUGUAAAGAACGUUAAGUGGGGAGAAAGGGCAGUAAGUUAAUACCUAGCUGUAUUGACGGUACCAGCAGAAUAAGCACCGGCUAACUACGUG
RNAcentral lists this ribosomal RNA (484 nucleotides) under uncultured bacterium. RNAcentral's name for it is "partial 16S ribosomal RNA". It matches the Rfam family "Bacterial small subunit ribosomal RNA", at positions 30 to 507 of the family's 1533-position model. The record is from RNAcentral.